RNAcentral lists this long non-coding RNA (483 nucleotides) under Equus caballus (horse). Its description in RNAcentral is "lncRNA (ENSECAG00000055537.1)". The record is from RNAcentral. Lineage: Eukaryota; Metazoa; Chordata; Mammalia; Perissodactyla; Equidae.
GCCUAGGAACAGCUCUGGCGGGCACGCAGCGGCCCCGAGCAGCCGGACCCUGCUUUCCUCCCUCUUUGUUCCUGAUGCAUCUGGUCAUUGGUGCCUUCUACUUUGGUCCUAUCGUAUUCAGUGUGACCAGCCCCCACCUGGAGAGUUCACCAUGGUGACCACAAGUCAGACCGGCAGCGUUAUUGUCUACCCACAGGACCAGAGGAAGACCUCAAGGAUCCACCCACUCCAGUCAGACAAGCUGGAGAUAUGUGAAGUCUGAAGGAUGAUAAGGUUAUUCAAACGAUCUGGAAAGGAACUGAUAGAUUAUCAGUAUAUAUCCAAGCCCUGGAUAUUGUUUAAAAAGCAAACAAAAACCUUUUUUUUCUUUUGCUGGAAUUUCUGAUGGUACAGUACACAAGUCCCAAUGUGUAACCUAACCAAAAAUAGCUAUACAUUGCUUAGAAAUUUACAUAGCUCAACCGCUGACCUUGUAGAGUUAGG